GCCAGCAUGGCAUAGUGGUUUGAGCAUUGGACUAUGACUCUGCAAACCAGGGUUCAAAUCCUUGCUCAGCCA
Molecule: non-coding RNA, 72 nt
Organism: Phrynosoma platyrhinos (Desert horned lizard)
Lineage: Eukaryota; Metazoa; Chordata; Lepidosauria; Squamata; Phrynosomatidae
Source: the annotation of a GenBank genome assembly